RNAcentral lists this unclassified non-coding RNA (230 nucleotides) under Hevea brasiliensis (rubber tree). Lineage: Eukaryota; Viridiplantae; Streptophyta; Magnoliopsida; Malpighiales; Euphorbiaceae. The record is from RNAcentral.
AAAACUUUUUGAUGAACUUGGCAUUGCUGCCAAAGAUGUACCUGUUGAUCAAUUCACUUCCAUUGGACGCAUUCUCUAUAAGGCCCCAUCUGAUGGAAGAUGGGGAGAGCAUGAGCUUGAUUACCUCCUGUUCAUUGUUCGGAAUGUCCAUGUGAAUCCGAACCCCGACGAAGUGGCAGAUAUCAAAUAUGUGAACCAGGAACAAUUGAAAGAACUGGUGAGGAAAGCAG